UUUUUUAAUUGAAAACUUGUAUGAAUGGUUGAAUGAAAUAUAAACUGUUUCAAAUAAAAUUAAUAUAAAAUUUUAUUUUUUAGUUAAAAAGCUAAAAUAUAAUUAAAGGACGAGAAGACCCUAUAAAGUUUUAUAAUUAUUUAUUAUUAAUUAAUAAAGAAUUAUAUAUAUAUAUAUAUAUAUUAUAAUAUAAAUAAUUUAUAUUAAAUAAUUAUUUUGUUGGGGCGACAAUAAAAUUUAAUAAACUUUUAUUAUUUUAUACAUAGAUUAAUGAAUUUUAUGAUCCAUUUUUUUUUGAUUAAAAAUUUAAAUUACUUUAGGGAUAACAGCGUUAUUUUUUUUUUAAGUUCAUAUUUAUAAAAAAGAUUGC
RNAcentral lists this ribosomal RNA (370 nucleotides) under Rutylapa ruficornis. Its description in RNAcentral is "partial 16S ribosomal RNA". Lineage: Eukaryota; Metazoa; Arthropoda; Insecta; Diptera; Keroplatidae. The record is from RNAcentral.